UUUUGCAUGAACUUCCAGCCUUCAGUCUUCUCUAAAGCCUUGAAAUGGCUAGAGAUCAACUUCAUGCACUUGAGGUAAAGAUCCGGUGCAUCGCAGAGCUUUGCCAAUUGAAGCACAUCCACCACAUUCUCAAUCGUCAACUGUUGACCAACAGCCUUGGCGCAUCUCUGCUUCAGAAGCGGGACCAGGUACACAUGGGAUAAUGCCAAUGCCAGUAGAUGGAUCCCAAACUUCUCCAACUCCUCUUCAUUGCACCUCGAAGAGUAGAUGAAUCGAACAAACGCCGCAACGGCGUCGCAAGGGACGCCGACGAUGG
This 316-nucleotide unclassified non-coding RNA is filed under the name Hevea brasiliensis (rubber tree). The record is from RNAcentral. Lineage: Eukaryota; Viridiplantae; Streptophyta; Magnoliopsida; Malpighiales; Euphorbiaceae.